UUCGUUGUUUGAAUCUGAUUUUUAUGCGUGUUUCUAUUAUUAUUUUCUUAAUCCAUUUCUCUCAUGGUAAUUUUUCAAAGGUAUAAAAUAAAGCAGUUACAUCUCUGUGGUAGUUGCUGUUUUGGCUUUUCCUAUUUCUCAAAUUUCUAACACUUUCGAUCCUGUUUAGUUUGUCAUCCUACUGGUGUUUGAGAUGAGAUAGCACGCGGGCAAGGAGGUCAAAAGCAUCCACCUCAACAGUAUACUAUAUUCAGCACUUGAUCGCCCGUGUGAAGGUUUCAAAUCCGUGUAAGGUGGCGUUUGGGAGUGGUGGCGAUUGCUGCUGGAGGCAUUGGUAAUGUUGAAAGAAGUGCAGGAUGAAAUGGAGGAAGAUGAGGAAGACGGAGAGGCUGAAGAAGAUGAUGAAGACGAUGACGAGGAUUCCGAGGGGGAUGAACUUGAAGAAACCGAAGAGGACUUUCUGGAAAGGUAUGCAAGAGCAGCCACUGCCUUGGAAAAUGGUACGGUUGGUGGAAGAUCAGGAGCAUGAAGUUGAGCUCGGUAAAUCUGACUAUACAUUGUUCUCUAGAAAGUGUAAUAACUAUUUGCAAAGGAGCAUGAAGUAGCAUUACCGGUUUCUCUUGCCGCCUAUUUGCAAAGGUGAUUUCAACUGCUGCUCCUUCGGUUAUAAUUUAUGAUCUCAAAAUUACUACUUGAUAUGCGAGCAAUAACACUUUAAAUUUUCAAGAA
Molecule: long non-coding RNA, 729 nt
Organism: Populus trichocarpa (black cottonwood)
Lineage: Eukaryota; Viridiplantae; Streptophyta; Magnoliopsida; Malpighiales; Salicaceae
Exons: 2
Source: RefSeq, a predicted model, not a curated record